GGGACUGAAAGGUUUCUACAUAUAGUUUUGUGUAUAUAAGUGAUUGAGAGUGAAGGUAAGCUAUACUUCAUUAAUCCUAGCUUUAAUAAUAUAAAUGCAAAACAUCAAAUUAUACCUUUUUCUAAAAAUAUAAUUUUAGCAUAGCUUUUUAAAUAUUUUUUAGAAUAUCAGCUUUUAUUAUCUGUCAUAUAUGCUGAUUUGUUAUCGAUUAGAUGCUCUUAGAUUAAAAAUUUUUAAGGAAAGUUUAAAAAAUAUAAGAUUUUUUAUGUUUUUCUCUUGGCUUUAUUUUGUCAGCCAGCUUAGUACACAGAAUUAGUAUGGACGUGGGUUCGAAUCCCACCAGUUCCA
Molecule: non-coding RNA, 348 nt
Filed under: Sebdenia flabellata
Lineage: Eukaryota; Rhodophyta; Florideophyceae; Sebdeniales; Sebdeniaceae
Source: RNAcentral